Molecule: long non-coding RNA, 7611 nt
Organism: Passer domesticus (house sparrow)
Lineage: Eukaryota; Metazoa; Chordata; Aves; Passeriformes; Passeridae
Exons: 2
Source: RefSeq, a predicted model, not a curated record
UUGUUACAGCUAAGCAAGCUAAACCAAGGUUACCAGUCAGGCUGAGACAAGUUCAGCCAAAGAGGAGAACCAUAAAACUACUCUAAUAACCACCAGAUUAAAGAGGCAUCAUUUACAACAAAAAGAUUAGCAAAAUAACUUGCUGUUUUCUAUACAUAGCUGUAGAUCCAAAUUGAAACAGGAGAAAGUUGUGUAUGCUUAUGUUAUGGGUGCUAUGUCAGUCUUUAAGAGUGAUGUGAUCCAAAAUGAGCAGUUCUGCUGAAAUUCUGAGUUCUUGCUAGGGAAGGGAUUGCUUGGGGCUUGUUGUAGUCUGGCCUUGGGCAGAGGCUGCCAAUAGCAGUCGGAAUUUGCUGCCUGUGCUCCUGAAGAACAGCUUCUGCUUGAGACUCCUUGAGUAGGUCCUCUUUGUGUCCUCCAGCACAGUUUUGUGGCAUGAACCAAAGUGCAGCAAGAGGGAAUGGUCCUGAUCUGAAUGAAAAUACUCAUGCAGGUAUGCCUUGUAUCGGUUCAGAACCAUGGUGAGACAAGCUUUUAAGUGGCAUUUUUUACUUACUGGAGCAUUUCCCAGUAGUGAAGGAAGAAAUUAAGGAAUUAGGACUGGACCAGGAAGCUAAACAAAAUGUGUGAAAUGUGAGAGGGAUAUGAGGUCCCAUGAUAAAUGCACUCAGACAACCAGUGAGAUACUUCUGCAAGGGCCAUGACGAGACAUGAAAUGUAGCUGCAAGAGACCAGGAUCAUCUACACAUAGAUCAAGCUGAAAAAUGGAAAAGCACUGUCUGCAAGCCUGGAUACACUCAUGCUUCAGUGGGAGGAAAAAAAUGGAAAGUAACAAUGUUGAAAGACAAGCACACUUCAAGUUGAAUCUCAUUCUGUUAGGCCAGUCCUUACUUGUAAUGUCUUGAUCUCUUUCAUGACAGCUGGGGCAGGAGACACUAGGCUAUAUAAAAUGCUAGCCAGCAUCUUGAAUUACAAAAGGCAGGGAGAAAAGACCUGAUUCUGUGGUGAAACCAUCCACUCAGAAAAAGCUUUUCAAUGCAAAAGUAAUAACUGCAUGCUAUUAGCUGUAAUCGUAAACCUAAGCUAAUAUAAUGUUGUUUUUAUUCCCACUGAGUGAUUUCACUGUGAGUCUGGUCUUUUGCAUCUUCUUAAUCCCUUCACAUGCUACUUUGUGCAUUUUCCUUUCUAAUGCUCUGCUUCUUUACCUGCUGUCCGUGUGCCACAUGCAAUUUUAGUGAGCAUGCUGGAUUAUCUGUUUAGCAGUAGCUAGCACUGGCUGGCAUUUGCAUGCUACCUCUUUUCAAUUCAAUUACUGACUGUGCACAGGGCAGUAAUUGCAGUUUCAGAAAGCUAAGGUUAAUGAGUAAAUUGAGUUUUAUGUCUUCCUGGGUCAUAAGAUAAAAAUUAUGGAUAAAAUGUAUUUGUAUAGGAGAGAUUUAAAUAGUGGUGGUUGUGUCAGGCUGCACUGGAAGCUCAUAAAGAAAGUUUAGGUGUCUGCUGAAAUAGAAAAUGUCACUGAUAAUGAAACUCAAAGGAGGAUGGAAGAGAGCUAUUCUGAACAGUUCAACUUCUCCUUUUCCUCCUAAUGGACACACCAUGCAAUUUGGCCAGUAAUAAAAAGUGAACUUCAGUUUUUCUGCAAUGAGACCAACUUUUGCUAUGCACUACACAAUUCUAAGUAGGCAUCAUAAGUAAAUAUCAGUGUUUGAGAGACAAAAACAACUAAAAGAGGGGUUUGUCUGAUGAAGUGGUCUAAAUUAAAAUUAGACAUUUUCUUCCAGGUGCCUGCCCAUCUCUCAAAAAGCAAUCCCUACAGUAAAUCACUUAUCAGUUUGAUCUGCAGGCAUCAGGGUUCUUUAAUUGAAUCAGUCAUCCGGUUCUAAUCAGCUGCCAUCCAGAAACUGAAUUCCUAUUGAAUUAAUAUGGAGCUCUUUUGUAUGCUUCAGUUAUCAAAAAACUUUAGCAAGUCAGUGGUUUCAGAGAAAAGUAACUUGUCAGGUCUCUUCCUUGAGAAGAGGAGGAGGUUAUGCUGCAGUGAUGGCUUUCUCAAAGCAGUAUGCCUUUAAAGGUCCACAUCUCCCUCCUAUAGCAAAACAGAAGAGUAAUUAAGAUUAAUAAGAGGUGAAUGCAAAUGUGGGUAGGUGUGUGGGACAGCCAGACCUCAUGUCUCAAGUGCUGCACACCAGGUGGUAACUCAGCUGGGAGUCAGAUCUGUCCUGCCUUGCUUGGGCCACUCAGUGCCUUAUGCUUUCCUCCUUUCCUCAGAUCCCCUCACUCUCCUGUGAGGAGUUUUCCUCCUUUCCUCAGAUCCCCUCACUCUCCUGUGAGGAGUUUCAGUAGGGUGGGCCUGUGUCCUUCCUCCUCUGGCACACUGCAGUAGCACAUCUGGACAGCCUCAUCUUUGCUCUCCCUUAAAAGCUCCUCAUUAGAAAGUGUCUCAGCCAUGGCUAGCACCUUGACCUCUCUCCUCAGUGAGAGAGGGACAUCCAUUGUCCCCUUCUGACUCAUUUUACCCCAUGCAAAUCUGUGUUAGUGAGGGCUCAGGAGCUCAGUAACCACUCAGGACUUCAACCACUCCGUGUGCCUGGCCACUGCUACUUUAGGGAAGAGAAUUACAGGAGUGGUUAUGGAUAAAAUGAAAAUGGAAAAUGGAAAAUGGAUGGGAGUAUGUCACAAGUAGAUUGGACUUGCAUGCGAGAGUGAAAGUGGAAAAGGAGGAAGUCUCAUACCCAUGAGACUAGUCAAGCAAAUAUUGGCAAGGAAAUUGUCCUCCUUAGGAGUAAACCUGUAUUGUCAGGCUGUCAGAUUUAGUGGGGGAAGUGCCUGCCUUGUCAGCUCUAGCUGAGCCAAGCUGAGCUCCUGGUGUGUCAGAUGAGCCACCAAAGCAGCCUCUUGCCACUCAGAAGGGAGCUGGCUGAGCACUGUGCACAUCAGCACCCCUCUGGCAGCCCCAGCAAGCAGGGCUCAGACCCUUGGACCAGGAUCCAAGGAUCUGUCAUAUGAAAGUCCCAUCCCAUGCAUGGACCCACUGGACAGGACUCCCAGGAGCCUCCAGAGCACUACUGCAGGGGGAGCAGAAUUAGAAGGAAUGGAAAAUGAAGGAAGUAAGAAAGAAGCAGACAGGUUGAAAUGGAAGAGAGAAACUGAAGCAAAUGUUGACAAUAUUAAAAGCAUAGUCUAGAUCUUGCCAACAAAAUCAUUAGCGUAUGAGUGGAAGCAUCUUUCAACUAGAAAUGGUCUGUAUGUACUUUGUUUCUGAAACAUACAAUAUGUCAGGCUACAUUUGUGGUGGACAGAAAACUUCAGCCCUCAUCUUUUCUUGAAACUAUGUCAACUUCAGCAGCAAAACCUCUUUUUCUAGCAUUGCAAUAUUUAAUAUGACAUUCCAAGUGAUGUGCAAGACAGUAGAACCAAAAGGGAGAUGCAUUAAUGUAGGUAAGUAUUUUCUGCAUUUUCUGUCCUGGUUUCAUCUGGGACAAAGUUAAUUUUUUUCCUAGUAACUGGUCCAGUGUUCUGUUUUGGAUUUAGUAUGACAGUAACUUAAAUUUAAGUUUUGAAACACAUUGCUGUUUCCCAUUGUUGCUGAGCAAUUUACAGCACUUUUUAGCUUCUUGUGCCCUGACAGUGAGAAGGCAGGAGAGGCACAUGCUGGGAGGGGACAAAGCUUGGACAGCUGACCCCAGCUGACCCAAGGGAUAUCCCAUACCAUAUGGCAUCAUGCUCUGUAUAUGAGCUGGGGGGGAGCUGGCUGGGGGCCACUGCUCAGGAACUGACUGGUACCAGUUGGUGGUGAGCUAUCACACUGUGCAACACUUGAUUUGUAUAUUCAAAUUAUUAUAUUUUAUAAUUAUUAUUUUCUUAAUUUUCUGCCCCAUGAAAUUGUCUUUAUCACAACCCAUGAGUCUGAGUCUUCCUACUCUCUCCUCCACCCCACUGAUAGGGAGGGCAGUGGUUGAGAGGCUGUGUGAUGCUUAGUUGCCAGCUGGGGGUAAACCACAACAAUUGGAUGAACCUACUUAAUGCCCAUUGCAUUACACCCUUUUCUUCCUCCCCUGUGGAUACACAAGAACCUAAGCAUAUGUCAGGUAGUCUGAAAAUGUUGCUGGCAUUGAGAAGGGACAAAUGUCCUUGACCCCUUGCCCGUGGCAGAGCUGUAACUUAGGAAUCCCUCAAAUUCUGAAUUGGAAAAAUGAAAGCAUUUUCUCCCGUUUGUUUAUAUUUUAUGAUAAUGCAGGAUAACAAAGGUAUAUCCUGGUAUUUCUUUUCCUCCAUACCCAAAUUUUGCUAAUUUCUACAUAAUAUUGCCUAUAUUCCACAGUUCUUCUGGUCUGAUGAAGAGAAGAGAUGAGAUGAUCUCAUGAGAUAAGAGUGAUCUCUCAUAAGGACUGGUAGUUAUUUUUCAGAGAUUUCCAGAACCAUAUUUCCUAAUAUUUCCAUAACCAAGAUGGAUGUUUCUAAGGGAAUAACUACAUGAGUGCUCGCAGCUGUGUUCAAAACAUAGUGCAGCCAAAGUCUGUUGUGAGUGCAUGUUACACACCCAAAAUUCAGUUCCAGACAGUGUUGGGGCUGCAUUUUAAGAGAUCAUUUUAGUUCCUAGGCCUCUUAAUGCUAAUAAAAAUUCUUACUGUUGCAGGAUUAGUCAAUGGCAAAAUCCAUCUGAAAGAUGUCUUUUUUUUCCCAGUGAAACUGUGGGUGGAGGUUUGGGUUUGCAUCCUUACUCUCUUAACUGUUCUUUAUUCCUGGCCAAAGCAGAAUUGGUUGGGAUUGUGAUCCUGAGCCUCUUUAAAUAACCAUUUAUUGGUUCUGUUUUUCUCAUUAUAGGAACAAAUUUCAGAUCUGAGAUUUGGGUGUCUCUGUAGCUCUUUCCUAGGCUCUACAUUAUUAUAUUAGCUUGUGUCUCUAGUCCUGAAAAAGAAUGUAAUUUCAUCCUCACAUUUCGAAAGGUUAAUCUCUUCUCAUCAACAAUAAUGGGUCACAUCAUGUGGCAGGGUAAAAAAAAAAAGUAUCAUACAUCUGAAUUUCCUACCCAUGUGAGCAGUAGAAAAAUGAACAGGAGUGGGAAGGAGUCAUCACAUCAUGUACUAACUCAUCUAAAUCUGGAUGCUUAAAUUAGGUUCCUCCACCAAGUGGAAUCAGAACGAGUCAUCUCUGUCACUGUUAGGAAAGCCAAGAGAGAUUAGGCCCCUAAUUUAUUUAUCAAAAUAUUUGAUUGUACUUUAUUAUGUGUUAAAUAUCUUAUAAAUGUGCUCUGAUUAUCUUGCCUUCUUCCCAGCCUCUCAGCCUCUUAAACUGCUAACUUAAUGAUCCUGCUGAACUUUCAGAAAUAUACCAGAAGUGCUUCUCCGGAGCUCUAGAGCAACAGGAAACAAAGAAACUUGAAGAAAGCCAAGACAAAAAAAUGUUCAGAAAAAAAAUCCAGAGAUGAAGGGGAGGAGCUGCAAAUGUGUGUCACAGCCACAACAGUAGCUGCUGUUCUCACCCCACAUGGGCUGUGAGAACUUAAUGAGCAAAAUUGUCCAUGCACUUAAUAAAUACUUGGGUUGAAGGGCUGAAGAAGGUCAUGUUUUAAAGACCUAACUGCAGGCAAUUGAUCAUGAUGGGGCUAACAAGGUUUUUCUAGGAGGCAAAAGUGUGACUCCAGCAGAGCCAUAGAGGCAGGACCUGUCAUUGGAAGGGCCACCAAGCUCUUGGCCCUCACAAGUGGAUGCCCAGCAUCCCCUGUGGGGCUAUAAGGGCUCCACUGCUGCAACAGCCUUCCUCCCAUUGGCUUCAGCAGCCUAAAUGUUGCAGGAACCUUUAAUCUGAGCCUAGCUAGAUGAAAGCUGUUACACGUGUAACUAGCAAUGCCAUAAUGGCAGCUUUGAUUACAGUGUAGGUAUCUUCAAAAAUAGAUGAUCUUGGGAAUCAAGGUCAGGACGUGACUAUGAGAAUUACAGGCUUUCCUAAAAGUGCUGAGGAAAACAAAAACGCAAACUGAGAAACUUAUUGAUUCUUCCAUUUUAACCCUGAUGACCAGCUACAUCAAACUGAUCUGCCGGGAGCCAUCACAAACAAAUCCACAAUAAAAGAAACACCACAUGGAUCGGCGGCAGCAGACAUCAGAAACCUUCCCUGAGGAGAGGUUGUUGUUCCCCACCACCACGCUCCUGGGCAGCAGCCACAUACCAGAGAGGCAAAUCACAUGCCAGUGGUGCUUGAUGGUCACUGUAAGUUUUUUAUCACCUUUGAAUUCAUCUAGCCCUUGAAUCCCUUCAUUCAGCCUUGCCCACGGUCAUAUGUCUCCAAUCUUUUCUCACAUACGCAGGCUUGGGAAAAGAGUUAACAGUUUUGCCUUUGUGGGUGUUUUUUACAACAGCUUAACUUUACUGACCACUAUGGAAAUUCUCUAGAUUUGCACUGCUGUGAACUAAACUGGGCUCAGGGGAACCGUGUGUGUGGGUUAUAGACUCCUUAAUUGCAUGUGGGCAGCAUUGUCCUCUGACUCAGAAAUAUCUUUGCCUUGGGAAAAAAAUAAUAUACUCCCAAAAAAUUAUUGUUGUUCUUUAUUCACAGACUUGAUCUCUUUAACAUUGCCCUGCAUUUGUCUUCACAAAAUUUAUUGGAUAAAUGGCAAAAAAGGGUAUUAGUUGUUUCCACUGAAAUAUGUGAGUGAUAAACACAUCUGUUAUGUGAACAGAUGUGAGAAUUCUUUACAGAUAUGGGAAUUCUUUACAAAUCCAUUUCUCACACUGUUAUACUCCUGUACAGUAAUUGGGCAUGUUUUUGAUUGAACAGUCCCUGAUUCAAAAGCAUCUCACCUGCUCUUAAUAUGAAGGCAAUAAAAGCGUAGCCAUGUGCUGUGUUUCUGGCACAGCUUCAGCUCUUCCACAUUACUUAAAUCAUGACCAUAUAUUCCAGUUAGCUUAGGCUUCAGGCUUUAAAAGCUCAAUGUGAGUAAUGAAGGGAAAGCAAUCUGAUUAGCUGGUGGAACUGACUAAAAGGCACCUUCAUUACAAAGGGGCUUUAAAAAGGAGUAAAACGACAUGAAAUGGAUUAAAGGUAUAAUAAUAAUGAUAGUAUCAAACAGCAUAACAAAGAAAAAUAUCUGCAUUCAACUAAUAUUAAUAUUUAAUAGAUGGCACAGGCAUGUCCAUGGCUUUAUAUUCUUCUGUUUUAAUGAUCUUUACCACAGCUUGAGGUCCUUUGUCUUGUCCCCUUCUACUGACAUCAGCUGGAGGAGACAUAGAUUAAAACAAGGGUAAUUUCCCCAUGGUCAUUGCUUGGCACUAUUUCUGCUUUGCUCAGCCAUGAACUGAAGUUUAAAGGAUGAAGUACUGUCACUCAGGCUGAUUCUCCCCUCCACCCCAUCUUACCAGGGUUAACCACUCAGCCAGUCACCACGGAAACACCGGGCUCCUUUGCCACCCCACAGCCUCAUAUUGGGAAUGGCACCAUAAUCUCAUUAGGAGGUUGAAUUUGCCAUUGAAGCUUGAAUUCCCAUAACAGGAGGGGAGUGGACUAAUGCAAUUAAGCAAAUUAGCAUUUUCAGCCACUGCAUGAUAUCUGUCCAAUACCAUGACCAAAGACUAGGUAGCUUUCUUCCACUCCUAAAAAAAAAAAAAAAAGUCAACAAAA